This is a long non-coding RNA of Lynx canadensis (Canada lynx), 337 nucleotides long. RefSeq lists it as uncharacterized. The record is from RefSeq and is a predicted model, not a curated record. The transcript has 2 exons. Lineage: Eukaryota; Metazoa; Chordata; Mammalia; Carnivora; Felidae.
GAAAUCCUGGGGGAUUGGGGCCAAGAAAAGAGAAUCUCUGCUGAGUGCUCCCGCCACCAGCAAGGAUAUGAUGCUCCAGCGACUCCCAAAUUUCCGAAGCCGGGACCUGGUUUGACCGGAAUGGCACUGACCAAGCUAAAAUCUCGGACUCUCUGCAGCAGCCUAAAGCUUAGGAAAGACUGCCACACACACAGAGCACCAGGGUCUUUCAGCCACUUGGGUCAGAGAGAUGCUAUUUCCAUUCUGCGGAUGAGAAAAAGGAGGCAGGCCAUGAUGGAGCCAUGUCCCCGAGGCCAUACGGGGACAGCUGGAUUGGGGACCAGGUGCCACUGGCUUC